UACGGGGGGCGCAAGCGUUGUUCGGAUUUACUGGGCGUAAAGGGCGCGUAGGCGGCCACCGCAAGUCGACUGUGAAAUCUCCGGGCUUAACCCGGAACGGUCAGCCGAUACUGCGGGGCUAGAGUGCAGAAGGGGCAACUGGAAUUCUCGGUGUAGCGGUGAAAUGCGUAGAUAUCGAGAGGAACACCUGCGGCGAAGGCGGGUUGCUGGGCUGACACUGACGCUGAGGCGCGAAAGCUAGGGGAGCGAACGGG
RNAcentral lists this ribosomal RNA (254 nucleotides) under uncultured bacterium. RNAcentral's name for it is "partial 16S ribosomal RNA". It matches the Rfam family "Bacterial small subunit ribosomal RNA", at positions 524 to 776 of the family's 1533-position model. The record is from RNAcentral.